CUCACUCCAAGUCACCCUCCACCCAGCAGCCAGAGGGAUCUUUCCGAACAUAAAUUCCCUCUCGCCACCACCUCCCUCCUUCACACCCUGCCCAAGUCCCUUCAGUAGAGAGACCCAGGCCUGGAGACUGUACAAAGCCCUGCAAAGUCUGGUCCCGCCGCCGCACCCUCGGAGCCCAGCGCGGAGAGGGCGCUUAGUGCGUGAGCUACCGUCGUUCCCCGCGACUCAGCCGAGCGGCAUCCGCACACCCUGCUAGCCUAGGAAGCGCAUCGAGGGAGCCCGCUCAAGCUGAAGCGCUGCACGAGCUGUGUCUUCCUUCUCUCCGCCGCGAAUGCGGGCAGGAUGCGAGCAAAAGACCCGGCAAAGAGGGCGCCGAGGGGGCGCAGCCGGGGCGCUGGGCGGACCCAGAGGGGACAUGGAGAGGAACGCGGAAGGGCAUGAUGGUGUGUUUCUGUAGUCCCAGCUACUCGGGAGGCUGAGGCGGGAGGAUCAGUUGAGCCCAGGAGUUCAAGACCAGCCUGGACAACACAGCAGACCCCGUCUUUAUAAAAUAAAUUCAGUAAAAUGG
Molecule: long non-coding RNA, 568 nt
Filed under: Homo sapiens (human)
Lineage: Eukaryota; Metazoa; Chordata; Mammalia; Primates; Hominidae
Description: PREDICTED lncRNA (TCONS_00042276)
Source: RNAcentral